Daphnia pulex (common water flea) is the source of this 885-nucleotide long non-coding RNA. RefSeq lists it as uncharacterized. Lineage: Eukaryota; Metazoa; Arthropoda; Branchiopoda; Diplostraca; Daphniidae. The transcript is spliced from 3 exons. The record is from RefSeq and is a predicted model, not a curated record.
AUUGUAAAACUGAAAAUGGCAAUGUUGCGCCUUGUUCGUUACUUUCAAGAUGGCUGCUGACAGUCUAAAGACACUGAGCGGAAAGGUCCAGACUCCAGUUACUCAUUCAGCCAGGUGAAGUCUGCGCUUCUUUGUUGCAGUCUAAUGUGCACAUGGAUUGGUUGCAGUCAUCCAGUGAAAGGUGUGAUUAAAUUGAGCUGUUGCAUGCAGUCUUUGGUGCUGAUGUGUUGUCCUGAAGUGUGGGAGAGUUCCAUGCUUCAAGUCUUCUGGGAUCAGCCAUAUCUGAGUUGACGCUGGAUCAUGCUGCAUUGAGGUUGCCGAAAUGUGGACAUCUAGUAGAACUGCAAGAAGACUCCUUGUAAUGGUUUAUGUUUACGUAGCAGUGAUGUUGCUGUCCAAUAUGGCAUGUUGUUGCAGCCUAUAGACUGGUGAAAGAUUUUUUUGCAUCGAGUUGCAUAUGCUGUUGCUGUUCCUUGGUGCCGGACUGCUGCCUGGUGUUGUGCACAAAAGUUACAUCCAGUUUUAAUUGUUAUUUGUGUCUAUUCAAGUAUUCAGUUAACCGUUAUAUGUUGAGAAUGAAAAAAAAAGUAAUACGGGGAAUUUUACGUUGAACAAAUAAUAAACAUGCCUUCGCGAUUGGGAAAUCAGCGAGGAGGAAAUGGGGGGGGUAUUUGAUUUUCAUUUACAAGAAGUCGUAGUUUGUUUUAUUACGGUAGAAAUAAAAUCCUUUGUCUAUCAUAUCCAUAUACCUACCUAUAUAACCACAUCUAUUCCUCAUACCCCAUAACCCCCACCAACAUCCAUUCCUUAAAAUCCCAUUUCCCCACAAAUGUCAAAUAUCUGUAAUAUGUACAUGUUUUUGAUCAAUAAAUAAACCAUCUUUAU